CAUACCGCGUGGGUGAAGAAGGCCUUCGGGUUGUAAAGCCCUUUUGUUGGGAAAGAAAUCCUAUCGGUUAAUAACCGGUGGGGAUGACGGUACCCAAAGAAUAAGCACCGGCUAACUUCGUGCCAGCAGCCGCGGUAAUACGAAGGGUGCAAGCGUUACUCGGAAUUACUGGGCGUAAAGCGUGCGUAGGUGGUGGUUUAAGUCCGUUGUGAAAGCCCUGGGCUCAACCUGGGAAUUGCAGUGGAUACUGGAUCACUAGAGUGUGGUAGAGGGAUGCGGAAUUUCUGGUGUAGCAGUGAAAUGCGUAGAGAUCAGAAGGAACAUCCGUGGCGAAGGCGGCAUCCUGGGCCAACACUGACACUGAGGCACGAAAGCGUGGGGAGCAAACAGGAUUAGAUACCCUGGUAGUCCACGCCCUAAACGAUGCGAACUGGAUGUUGGGUGCAACUUGGCACCCAGUAUCGAAGCUAACGCG
RNAcentral lists this ribosomal RNA (475 nucleotides) under Pseudoxanthomonas sp. RNAcentral's name for it is "bacterial SSU rRNA". It matches the Rfam family "Bacterial small subunit ribosomal RNA", at positions 393 to 859 of the family's 1533-position model. Lineage: Bacteria; Pseudomonadati; Pseudomonadota; Gammaproteobacteria; Lysobacterales; Lysobacteraceae. The record is from RNAcentral.